RNAcentral lists this ribosomal RNA (468 nucleotides) under uncultured bacterium. Its description in RNAcentral is "partial 16S ribosomal RNA". It matches the Rfam family "Bacterial small subunit ribosomal RNA", at positions 28 to 507 of the family's 1533-position model. The record is from RNAcentral.
GACGAACGCUGGCGGCGUGCUUAACACAUGCAAGUCGAACGGAAAGGCCCUGCUUUUGUGGGGUGCUCGAGUGGCGAACGGGUGAGUAACACGUGAGUAACCUGCCCUUGACUUUGGGAUAACUUCAGGAAACUGGGGCUAAUACCGGAUAGGAGCUCCUGCUGCAUGGUGGGGGUUGGAAAGUUUCGGCGGUUGGGGAUGGACUCGCGGCUUAUCAGCUUGUUGGUGGGGUAGUGGCCUACCAAGGCUUUGACGGGUAGCCGGCCUGAGAGGGUGACCGGCCACAUUGGGACUGAGAUACGGCCCAGACUCCUACGGGAGGCAGCAGUGGGGAAUAUUGCACAAUGGGCGGAAGCCUGAUGCAGCAACGCCGCGUGCGGGACGACGGCCUUCGGGUUGUAAACCGCUUUCGCCUGUGACGAAGCGUGAGUGACGGUAAUGGGUAAAGAAGCACCGGCUAACUACGUG